Molecule: long non-coding RNA, 1011 nt
Filed under: Homo sapiens (human)
Lineage: Eukaryota; Metazoa; Chordata; Mammalia; Primates; Hominidae
Description: HSALNT0384050
Source: RNAcentral
AGGAAGCUGGCGCUGCUGGACAGGAGCCACGCAACACUCACGCCCGGGGGGAAGCUCGCACCCACCCACCCUGAGACAGCCACAGCCACAGCCACCAGGAGCAGGCUGAGCCCGUGGGCCAGGGAGGCACACCAGGCCGGCAGCAGGCGCUUCCGCAGACCCUCCACCAGUCCUGGGGAAGCAGAGACAGACCUGAGUGCUGGACCUGAGGGACAUGGUAGGCUGUGAAUUCAUCCCGGCCUCCAGGAGGCAGUUGCAGCCAAGCCCAUGUUAACCUGGGCGGGCAGUUUCUUGAGCCUCUUGGGUCACAGGGUCCCCCCGACAAAAAGCCGGAAGACCCUACCCCAAACGAGAGUGGGAGUGGUGCUGGGAGCCAGGGAACCAAGAGCCACUCCAGGCACCGAAGUCAGGCGUCCGCCUGCGUCCCUCUCCCGCCCGCUUGCUGCUGAUAAACCCAUCGCCCACAGCCUGACCAGCUGCCCUUACAGCAGUGCACAGUCUCUCAGGGUGCAAUGAGCCCCCCUUCAACCCUGCAAACUAUGAUUGGGUCUCAACCAUCCAACAAGCAUCUCUACAAUCUAGAGACGCCAGUGUGUCUGUCCCAUGCAGGUUUAUGGCCUAAAAUUAACUUCUGGACAAGGAAACAUAUGAAUGCCUUUCAAAUCCCAACAGUGUGUAGGGCUCCCUGAGGCCAGAGAUCUGCUUGUGUCUCCAGGAGCCAGUGACCACCGAGGCUGUGCCACUGCAUCGGGCCACCAUGCUGAUAUGCCCGGUCCCAGAGCUGCUAGAGAAGAGGUACAGAGGCAGCGAAGACACGUUGAGGGGGAGGACGAGACCAACUGCGAGACGCCGAGUCCCGGGCUCUCAGGACGCUCUCCCGUACCUGCGCCCUCGUCAGCCCAUCACCGAAAGAACGGCCUGACCCAGGGUCACACUGCACUGAAUGCUUCCUGUUUUGCUGUCUCUCGGAGGAUAAAAGACACUCUUGGCUGGGCGCAGUGUCUCAAGCCU